Zonotrichia leucophrys gambelii is the source of this 861-nucleotide long non-coding RNA. RefSeq lists it as uncharacterized. The transcript is spliced from 4 exons. The record is from RefSeq and is a predicted model, not a curated record. NCBI's taxonomy places the organism in Eukaryota, Metazoa, Chordata, Aves, Passeriformes, Passerellidae.
AGUCGGUUGGUUGUUUUCUGAAGAAGAAGAAAGGCGCUGCCCAGGAGAAAACACCAAGAAGUUUCCUGCUGUACAUUCUGUCUACAAGGCUGGAAGAAGACACAGUCAGGUGAUGAGGUCCUGCUCCCUGAAGAUGGCUGCACACCUGCCUGUUGCAGAUGUCUUAGAUACUGAUGCAUCUGAGAUUACCAGUGGAUGAAAGACAGCUGUUGACAGCCACCAGCUCCCACUGCAAUGCAUCAGCUGACUCAGCCUCAUCAUUUCAGCAAAAAGGAUUCAGGCCCUUUUCUGCUUUUGUGUCAUGUUUUAUGGGGCUGCCUUAAUUAACAGAGAAUUAACACUGACACAUAGGACUACUGAGGUAAUGCUUAAAGUGAAAAUCCAAAUACCAUCUAAAAAUAAUGAGGCAUAGUGUCAAUUGCAUACCAUGUAGAUAAAAGAAUAUACCUUUGCUAAAGUUAGAGUGGCCAUGGAAGUUAUCAUUAGGUGAUCAAAAAUAGCACACUGGGGGCUGCUUGGGGCUUUUUAGUUGCUAUAUAAAUAAUAUAUAAUAAUAUAGAAAUAACAAAACUUGCAGUGAAAACUAACAGACAGCAAUGCCCAUAGGCUGGCAACAGACACUUUCAUGGUUGGAGUUUUAUACUUAGUGAGGAAGGGAAAAUGGGAACACAUACUCACUGAAGAAUGGCUGUGGAAAUAAAGUAUCCUAAACCCCAAAUGGUACAGAUAUUUGGCUCAGAGAAGUGUUGAAAUUUUUAAAUUGUCAAAGUAUGUCCCAAAACCUAUUUCUGUAGCUGCUUUUAUUUAGUUCUUGCAUGUAGAGUUCCACUGCUUCCAAUGAGAGAUCUGUCAAAAAAAGAU